RNAcentral lists this ribosomal RNA (559 nucleotides) under uncultured bacterium. RNAcentral describes it as "bacterial SSU rRNA". It matches the Rfam family "Bacterial small subunit ribosomal RNA", at positions 102 to 694 of the family's 1533-position model. The record is from RNAcentral.
ACGGGUGAGUAACGCGUGGGGACCUGCCUCGAAGUUCGGAAUAACCGCGGGAAACUGCGGCUAAUACCGGAUGUGGCCUGAGGGCCAAAGGGGAAACUCGCUUCGAGAGGGGCCCGCGUCCGAUUAGCUAGUUGGCGGGGUAACGGCCCACCAAGGCGACGAUCGGUAGCUGGUCUGAGAGGAUGAUCAGCCACACUGGGACUGAGACACGGCCCAGACUCCUACGGGAGGCAGCAGUGGGGAAUAUUGGACAAUGGGGGCAACCCUGAUCCAGCAAUGCCGCGUGAGUGAUGAAGGCCUUCGGGUUGUAAAGCUCUUUUGGCGGGGACGAUGAUGACGGUACCCGCAGAAUAAGCCCCGGCUAACUUCGUGCCAGCAGCCGCGGUAAUACGAAGGGGGCUAGCGUUGUUCGGAAUUACUGGGCGUAAAGGGCGCGUAGGCGGUCCUGAUCGUCGGAUGUGAAAGGCCUGGGCUCAACCUGGGAACUGCAUCCGAUACGGCGGGACUGGAGUGUGGGAGAGGUUGGUGGAAUUCCCAGUGUAGAGGUGAAAUUCGUAGA